GGUCUAUUAGCUCAAAGGUAGAGCAUUCGGCGUUUAACCGAAGGGUUGAAGGUUCGAAUCCUUCAUAGAAGCC
RNAcentral lists this transfer RNA (73 nucleotides) under Hyphococcus sp. RNAcentral describes it as "tRNA-Lys". It matches the Rfam family "tRNA". Rfam says of the family: Transfer RNA (tRNA) molecules are approximately 80 nucleotides in length. Lineage: Bacteria; Pseudomonadati; Pseudomonadota; Alphaproteobacteria; Parvularculales; Parvularculaceae. The record is from RNAcentral.